GCGCCAGUUACAAUUUAAUUUCGACGAUAAUUUCAAUAGCGAUUCACCUCUUUUUAGCGAAAAUCUUGACGUAGGAAAAAUCAAAAUUCUAGCUUCACUGGAAUCUGGAAUGGAGGAAUACUUCAGUGGGUUCAGACGGACCUAUCUGGAGACUGCAGUAACGAACAUUCAUAAAGCAGAAAUUAUUGGAGGUGUUAAGCACAAAUAUCAACUCUCUCCUUCUGGACUCAAAUUAGUGAGUAUAUCCCCCCCCCCUCUACUCUCGUUUGAAUUGUUUUUGGCAAAAGGGAUUCAUAUGGUUUUUAUGGCUGAAGGAACUUACCUCUCUUUUCCGCAGUUUUCCUCAUUUCAGUCAAAAAAGGUAACAGUAGAAAAAGGUAACAGUAGAAAAAAGUAACAGUUUGUAGUUCUGGAGCUUAACCUGGAUCUCAUUCCUAUGACAGAAAAAUCAGACAGACGAUUGUGUUAUCUAACAAGUACUGUUGACACUUCCGAAUAUCGUGUCUUGCUUAAUUUGUGGGUUGGGCUUUUUUUACAGAUAGUUUCACUUUCUAAUGGUAGAUGGCAGGACGAAAUGUUUACUCGCCUUUCAAAAACAAAAACAAAAAGUUCAAAGGCAAAUGUAAAACGAAUGACAAGCGCCAGCAUGAUACCGCCAGUAACAAUUCUAACGUUUUUCAAUGUGAUUCACCUCUAUUGAAUAAAAAAAAUGUAAGAAAAAAUCAAAAGAUCUCAACAGGGCACAUUCUAGCUUUACAUUGAAAUGGAGGAAUAUUUCAGUGGCUCAGACAGUGACAGGUAUAUAGUUUUAUACUUUUAUGAUAGUCCAUUUUGCAAAUCAAAUUAAAGUGUCAUAUUGAACCAUUCAACAAUGACAGAGAACACAAGUUGUGUUUACUUGUGAUGAUUUCGUUCUCAUUCUCCUGUCUGAAGACGGCAGUAAUGAAUAUUUAUGCAGCAGUUAAAUGAUUGGAGGUGUUAAGCACAAAUAAUGACUCUCUGGACUCAAAUUCAUGAGUAUACCCACCUUCUACUCUUGUUUGAAGUGAUUGUUGAUUCUUAUUUGGGUGAAAGGGAUUCAUAUGGUUUUUAUAGCUGAAGGAACUUACCUCUCUUUUCAGUAGUUUUCCUCACUACAACAGUUAGUGUAGUUCUGGAGCUUAAUACCUGUGGAUCUCGUUCCUGUGACAGAAAAAUGGUCUUCAUGCUCUACUUGUUCAAAUGGUUUCUGACUGGAAGUAAUCAUUAAAUGAAGCACGAUUUUCGACCACGCGAUGGGAGAAUUUUGCCUCGAAUUUUGCUGCUUUUGCAGAAUUAAAAACUUCUUCAGAAAAUUUUUCCUCGUGUUUGUCGUUAGUUCGUUACUUCACUCAACAGUCUACACAAUGUGGCAAGCAAUCCAUCCAGGACUAAUAAGAAGAUCUGUAAGCCUGACUGGAUGUUGGCUAUUGGAAGUCUAUGGCCCUAGAUUUGACGGAUCAGCUAAUCAUGAAAAUGUUCGAUGCUAGAACGGGAUACUGUGCACCUACAAGUCUUUCCCAGGUUGGUCGCGCACUAUCUCGUCUAUGCUUUGCGAAGAAUCGCACCGUCGCUUUUUCUACUGAGGAAAGUCGACUCUUAUCGACUGUCUAUAAGAGUCGACUUGUUCAUUAGAGUGCGCCUUUUUGAAUGCUAGCUUGUAUUUUUGUACUGAUUAUUGUAUUUAAUCGUUUGAAUGUAGGGUUUGAAUGUAAAACGUUUGUAGAAUAAAUAUAUUUUAAAUUUUCGUGUGUAUUUUUGAUGAACGGUUGAUUUUAAAGGUAAAUUUAAUAAAGGUGAUACUCUCACUUGGUGCUGGUUGCUGGACUAG
This is a long non-coding RNA of Daphnia pulex (common water flea), 1849 nucleotides long. RefSeq lists it as uncharacterized. The transcript has 4 exons. Lineage: Eukaryota; Metazoa; Arthropoda; Branchiopoda; Diplostraca; Daphniidae. The record is from RefSeq and is a predicted model, not a curated record.